RNAcentral lists this small RNA (124 nucleotides) under Marmota monax (woodchuck). The record is from RNAcentral. Lineage: Eukaryota; Metazoa; Chordata; Mammalia; Rodentia; Sciuridae.
GCCAGGUGUGGUGGUGCACACCUGUAAUCGUAGUGGCUCAGGAGGCUGAGGCAUGAGGAUCAUGAGUUCAAAGCCAGCCUCAGCAAUGCAAGACCCUAAGCAAUUCAGUGAGACCUUGUCUCUA